RNAcentral lists this long non-coding RNA (307 nucleotides) under Brassica napus (rape). Its description in RNAcentral is "long non-coding RNA (BNAP_LNC016231)". Lineage: Eukaryota; Viridiplantae; Streptophyta; Magnoliopsida; Brassicales; Brassicaceae. The record is from RNAcentral.
UUCGGAUUAAUUAUGGGCUUCCAACUUAAAACCAAUUGGCAAUUAGUGGAUUGGCCCAAGUCCCUUAUAUAUUACUCAAGUCCCUUAGAAUUCCCGAUGUGGGAUAUAUAUCCCUAAUACCCCUCCUCGAGAUGAUGGCUCUUAUCGGCCAGAAAUCUCGAAAUUUUUUAAGACAGUUAUACUCGGUCGAGCGAGUCAAUUAUGAUCUUUAUACCCGGUCGGAUAGGGUUAUAUUAAUUAGGGGUAUAACGUAUUUAGGAUCUGAACUCUGAUACCAUGUUAAAUAUAAUAGAAUAAAUAUAUUAUU